CCUACCCAUGAGCAGGAUGAAGCGAAAGUAAAAUUUCGUGGAGGUCCGAACCCACGAGCGUUGAAAAGCUCGGGGAUGACUUGUGGGUAGCGGUGAAAUUCCAAUCGAGCCCGGAGAUAGCUGGUUCUCCCCGAAAUAGCUUUAGGGCUAGCCUCAAGGUGAGAGAUACGGAGGUAGAGCACUGAAUGUCCUAGGGGGUAUUGCACCUACCGAAGACUAUUAAACUCCGAAUGCCGUCAUCUUAUACUUGGGAGUCAGACUGUGGGUGAUAAGAUUCAUAGUCGAAAGGG
This 290-nucleotide ribosomal RNA is filed under the name Clostridioides difficile. RNAcentral describes it as "partial 23S ribosomal RNA". It matches the Rfam family "Bacterial large subunit ribosomal RNA", at positions 729 to 1019 of the family's 2925-position model. The record is from RNAcentral. Lineage: Bacteria; Bacillati; Bacillota; Clostridia; Peptostreptococcales; Peptostreptococcaceae.